RNAcentral lists this ribosomal RNA (447 nucleotides) under Stenotrophomonas sp. SAM-B. Its description in RNAcentral is "bacterial SSU rRNA". It matches the Rfam family "Bacterial small subunit ribosomal RNA", at positions 349 to 793 of the family's 1533-position model. Lineage: Bacteria; Pseudomonadati; Pseudomonadota; Gammaproteobacteria; Lysobacterales; Lysobacteraceae. The record is from RNAcentral.
CAGCAGUGGGGAAUAUUGCACAAUGGGCGCAAGCCUGAUGCAGCCAUGCCGCGUGUAUGAAGAAGGCCUUCGGGUUGUAAAGUACUUUCAGCGGGGAGGAAGGGAGUAAGUUAAUACCCUCAUUGACGUUACCCGCAGAAGAAGCACCGGCUAACUCCGUGCCAGCAGCCGCGGUAAUACGGAGGGUGCAAGCGUUAAUCGGAAUUACUGGGCGUAAAGCGCACGCAGGCGGUUUGUUAAGUCAGAUGUGAAAUCCCCGGGCUCAACCUGGGAACUGCAUCUGAUACUGGCAAGCUUGAGUCUCGUAGAGGGGGGUAGAAUUCCAGGUGUAGCGGUGAAAUGCGUAGAGAUCUGGAGGAAUACCGGUGGCGAAGGCGGCCCCCUGGACGAAGACUGACGCUCAGGUGCGAAAGCGUGGGGAGCAAACAGGAUUAGAUACCCGGGUAG